CCUCCGAACAUUGUUAUGAGACUAGCAUCAUUAUCAUCACAUAACUCUAUAGGACUCCCAAAUCAUGAAUAAACUUUCUGGAAGCAAUACUAUUUGAUCAUGAGUCAACAUGGAAACUUCUAGCUACUAAGAGUGGAUUCGUUAUGGAGUAGUGUUACGUUUAAGUGGGGAACGUGUACGCAUCAAAGAAUUGUACAAAAGGGACCAUAAAUUUUACUGCUCCUAUAAACUUUGUCCUAUUGGAAACGUGGAUUACACUUCUCUUUGGAGAACCAUGAGUAGUGCUUUAAACAUUAUUAACCCUGGGUUUAGUCAGUGCAUUUCUCCCUCUCCUCUACCACUCUUUGUUCCAUGGUCUCAGAAAUUUUGCCUCGCUACUCCUCCCCUGUUUAAGUUCAUGAUGAAAGACCAUUUUGUAGUGAAAAAUUAACGAGAAGGCGUAUAUUGAUACGCUCAAUGGACAUGUCUUUCUAGGUAAUUUGAAGGAGGCAUUUAUUUUGCAUUAUUGAUUCCUAAUAACAAGCUUUAGCUUCUUGAUUUUUCGCAUGAUUCAUUAUUGGUGGACAAUAACGGCAACUAUAUGUCCUUUUAAUUGUAGUUAAAAAGAACUACAAAUUAAGAUUUUAACUCCAUGUCUUUGAUUAAGAGAUGUGCGCAAUGGAUGAGAAAAGAGUUAAAAGAGACAAAACAGAAGAAAAACUUAUGGAAGUGGUCCAUGUUCUUUUAUCCAUCAAUUGCUUGAUUUGAUUAAGUCGUAGUGUACUUUUUGUUGUUUUUGAAUGGGUCAUAUCUCUUUUCCAGUGUUAAUUAAUGGGUAAACAUCAAAAUUCUAGAAUUGAUAUUUUAUAGACUUGCAUGGAGAAAAAAGUGUGAAAUCGAGGGGAAGUCCAAAGCACCAGUACAAACACCGGUAUAUGCAUUCAAAUUUGAUUCCUUGAAAACUUAAUGUUCAUGGAAUGGUACAUUCAUAUUAUUUUAUAGACAUGUUGAUAUAAUGUUAAAAAUAAGAUAUUUAUGUAAACCAUGAUAUUUUAAUACUGUGCUCACAGGAUUUAUGAAGGCACAUUUUAAUUCACUAUACAAGAAGCUUCACUUCGACAUCAUCCCGAAGUUAAGGUUGAAAAAUCUGAAAGGUUAUUUUCUCCAUAUGAAGUCAAUAGAACCUCCUACAUAGAAAUAAUGCUCUGCUUUGACCAAUUUUUGUAGUCAAAAGCAUUUAAAAGUCAGUAAAUUGUUCAAUUUGUUUUCCUUUUCAUGUUCCUGUUAAGGUAUUGGCUUACCUAUUCGAAAAUGCUUGAUUAUUCCGUUUCUUUCUUGCUGGAAGCUUUUAAGGGGAGCUGCAUUUGGAGGAAAAGAUGCAGAAAGAAUGACUAAAAUGAAAUAUAAGUUCAAGUAAGGCAACAUUAAUGUGAAAAGAUCACUUUUAGUGUUCUUGUCGGUUGUUUAACCCAAUGCAUCUGUUCAAAGUUGACGGGAGAAGUAGUUUUGAUUCAAAAGAUACCCCUAUAUACAUUUCUGGAGCUAAAGCUAUGGACAACUUAAAGACUUCUCAUUAUAUUUCACUCCUACUUUGAGACAAAGAAAAAGGAAGUUUAUAUAGCACAGUCUUGCCCCCUUUACUAUUUUAGAAAGUCUUAAUGUUUUGCUUGUCUAUUUCCCCUUCUCAGGUGACAAUCCCAUCUUUGCUAUACUUCAAGACAAAGAGAUGCAGAGUUGAAUUACCCUGUGCUACAUUAUUUCAUCAUGGUAUGAUCUUGACCUUAUAUAUCCUGAAAGCUACUUUCAGUAUGUGCUUUUAUCUCAUGUUUUCAGUGAAUAUAGUGAUAUGAAGUUAAUUGAUACUUCUCCAAGAUAGAUGACGAAUAUUUUAUUUGUUUUUUGCUUUUCCUGAACAAUACUAAUGUAUAGUGAAGAAGCAAUCAACAGAGGUGUGAAAAAGAAAUCUGCAUGGAAAAGUGAAAGCUACAUAAUUGCUCAAAGUUCAAAGAUCAAGAACUUUUUUUUUGGCAGCCACUAUUUUCUUUUGGAGCUCUCUUUACUUUGAUCUUUCUUAGCAUUUUUAAUACUGUAAUUCUCAACUGCAAGCUGUGGACAUUUGCAAUUUUCCUCCAAAGCUCAGUGAUGGCGGGGGCAUUUUCUCUUGGUUAUUGCUCAAAAUUACAACUGUUAAUGAUCGUUAUGUUUUAUGAGUUGUUGAAGCAUUUAGAUUUAUUUUGCUGUGUCAAAUGAAGAUACCAAUGGAUGAACCGUAAUUUUUUGGUGAUAUUUAUGCAUUAUAAAUUUGAUGAUGAA
Lycium ferocissimum is the source of this 2292-nucleotide long non-coding RNA. RefSeq lists it as uncharacterized. The record is from RefSeq and is a predicted model, not a curated record. The transcript is spliced from 2 exons. NCBI's taxonomy places the organism in Eukaryota, Viridiplantae, Streptophyta, Magnoliopsida, Solanales, Solanaceae.